AGAGUUUGAUCAUGGCUCAGGAUAAACGCUGGCGGCGUGCCUAACACAUGCAAGUCGAACGCUCUGAGCAAUCAGAGAGUGGCGGACGGGUGAGCAACACGUGGGGACCUACCCUUCGGUGAGGAAUACCGGCGAGAAAUCGUCGACAAGACUGCAUAGGCUCGGCUGACCCCGAGCAAAGCUUCGACAGAGGCGCCGGAGGAUGGACCUGCGGCCGAUUAGCUGGUUGGUGAGGUAAGAGCCCACCAAGGCGACGAUCGGUAGCUGGUCUGAGAGGAUGAUCAGCCACACUGGGAUUGAGAACGGCCCAGACUCCUACGGGAGGCAGCAGUGAGGAAUUUUCGGCAAUGGGGGCAACCCUGACCGAGCAACGCCGCGUGCAGGAGGAAGGUCUUCGGAUCGUAAACUGCUUUUCUCGGGGACGAGUGCGGACGGUACCCGGGGAAGAAGCCCCGGCUGACUACGUGCCAGCAGCCGCGGUAAUACGUAGGGGGCGAGCGUUGUCCGGAGUGACUGGGUGUAAAGCGCCCGCAGGCGGUCCGUCGCGUUUGAGGUAACAGCUCCCGGCUUCACUGGGAGAGCGUCUCAAAAACGGGCGGACUUGAGGGCCAGAGAGGGAGACGGAAUUCCGGGUGGAGUGGUGAAAUGCGUAGAGAUCCGGAGGAACACCGAAGGCGUAGGCAGUCUCCUGGCUGAUACCUGACGCUCGGGGGCGAAAGCGAGGGGAGCGAACGGGAUUAGAUACCCCGGUAGUCCUCGCCGUAAACGAUGACCACUAGGUGUGGGAGGUAUCGACCCCUUCCGUGCCGUAGCUAACGCAGUAAGUGGUCCGCCUGGGGGAGUACGGUCGCAAGAUUAAAACUCAAAGGAAUUGACGGGGACCCGCACAAGCAGCGGAGCGUGUGGUUUAAUUCGACGCGACGCGCAGAACCUUACCAGGGUUUGACAUGCCCCUGCACCGGCCAGAGAUGGUCGUGCCCGCAAGGGACGGGGGCACAGGUGCUGCAUGGCUGUCGUCAGCUCGUGCCGUGAGGUGUUGGGUUAAGUCCCGCAACGAGCGCAACCCCUGUCGUCGGUUGGAUAUGUCCGACGAGACUGCCUCGAUCAACGGGGAGGAAGGCGGGGAUGACGUCAAGUCAGCACGGCCCUUACAUCCUGGGCGACACACACGCUACAAUGGACGCGACAACGGGAGGCCAACCCGCGAGGGGGAGCGGAUCCCAGCAAAGGCGUCCUCAGUUCGGAUGGCAGGCUGCAACCCGCCUGCCUGAAGUCGGAGUUGCUAGUAACCGUGGGUCAGCAUACCACGGUGAAUACGUUCCCGGGUCUUGUACACACCGCCCGUC
Molecule: ribosomal RNA, 1346 nt
Filed under: uncultured Chloroflexales bacterium
Lineage: Bacteria; Bacillati; Chloroflexota; Chloroflexia; Chloroflexales
Description: bacterial SSU rRNA
Rfam family: Bacterial small subunit ribosomal RNA
Source: RNAcentral